UCCACGCUGUAAACGAUGUCGAUUUGGAGGUUGUUCCCAUGAGGAGUGGCUUCCGGAGCUAACGCGUUAAAUCGACCGCUGGGGAGUACGGCCGCAAGGUUAAAACUCAAAUGAAUUGACGGGGGCCCGCACAGCGGUGGAGCAUGUGGUUUAAUUCGAUGCAACGCGAAGAACCUUACCUACUCUUGACAUCCAGAGAAUUUAGCAGAGAUGCUUUAGUGCCUUCGGGAACUCUGAGACAGGUGCUGCAUGGCUGUCGUCAGCUCGUGUUGUGAAAUGUUGGGUUAAGUCCCGCAACGAGCGCAACCCUUAUCCUUUGUUGCCAGCACAUUAUGGUGGGAACUCAAAGGAGACUGCCGGUGAUAAACCGGAGGAAGGUGGGGAUGACGUCAAGUCAUCAUGGCCCUUACGAGUAGGGCUACACACGUGCUACAAUGGCGUAUACAAAGAGAAGCGACCUCGCGAGAGCAAGCGGAACUCAUAAAGUACGUCGUAGUCCGGAUUGGAGUCUGCAACUCGACUCCAUGAAGUCGGAAUCGCUAGUAAUCGUAGAUCAGAAUGCUACGGUGAAUACGUUCCCGGGCCUUGUACACACCGCCCGUCACACCAUGGGAGUGGGUUGCAAAAGAAGUAGGUAGCUUAACCUUCGGGAGGGCGCUUACCACUUUGUGAUUCAUGACUGGGGUGAAGUCGUAACAAGGUAACCA
This 707-nucleotide ribosomal RNA is filed under the name uncultured Providencia sp. RNAcentral describes it as "bacterial SSU rRNA". It matches the Rfam family "Bacterial small subunit ribosomal RNA", at positions 794 to 1502 of the family's 1533-position model. Lineage: Bacteria; Pseudomonadati; Pseudomonadota; Gammaproteobacteria; Enterobacterales; Morganellaceae. The record is from RNAcentral.